UCGAGCGGACAGGUGGGAGCUUGCUCCCUGAUGUUAGCGGCGGACGGGUGAGUAACACGUGGGUAACCUGCCUGUAAGACUGGGAUAACUCCGGGAAACCGGGGCUAAUACCGGAUGGUUGUUUGAACCGCAUGGUUCAAACAUAAAAGGUGGCUUCGGCUACCACUUACAGAUGGACCCGCGGCGCAUUAGCUAGUUGGUGAGGUAACGGCUCACCAAGGCAACGAUGCGUAGCCGACCUGAGAGGGUGAUCGGCCACACUGGGACUGAGACACGGCCCAGACUCCUACGGGAGGCAGCAGUAGGGAAUCUUCCGCAAUGGACGAAAGUCUGACGGAGCAACGCCGCGUGAGUGAUGAAGGUUUUCGGAUCGUAAAGCUCUGUUGUUAGGGAAGAACAAGUACCGUUCGAACAGGGCGGUACCUUGACGGUACCUAACCAGAAAGCCACGGCUAACUACGUGCCAGCAGCCGCGGUAAUACGUAGGUGGCAAGCGUUGUCCGGAAUUAUUGGGCGUAAAGGGCUCGCAGGCGGUUUCUUAAGUCUGAUGUGAAAGCCCCCGGCUCAACCGGGGAGGGUCAUUGGAAACUGGGGAACUUGAGUGCAGAAGAGGAGAGUGGAAUUCCACGUGUAGCGGUGAAAUGCGUAGAGAUGUGGAGGAACACCAGUGGCGAAGGCGACUCUCUGGUCUGUAACUGACGCUGAGGAGCGAAAGCGUGGGGAGCGAACAGGAUUAGA
This 738-nucleotide ribosomal RNA is filed under the name Bacillus spizizenii ATCC 6633 = JCM 2499. RNAcentral's name for it is "bacterial SSU rRNA". It matches the Rfam family "Bacterial small subunit ribosomal RNA", at positions 62 to 782 of the family's 1533-position model. Lineage: Bacteria; Bacillati; Bacillota; Bacilli; Caryophanales; Bacillaceae. The record is from RNAcentral.